UGCCAGCCGCCGCGGUAAUACUGAAGGUGCAAGCGUUAAUCGGAAUCACUGGGCGUAAAGCGCUCGUAGGUGGCUUUGUAAGUCAGAUGUGAGAGUCCACGGCUCAACCGUGGAAUUGCAUUUGAUACUGCAUCGCUAGAGUAUAGGAGAGGGAAGUGGAAUUUCUGGUGUAGGAGUGAAAUCCGUAGAGAUCAGAAGGAAUACCAGAGGCGAAGGCGACUUUCUGGAUCAAAACUGACGCUGAGAGACGAAAGCAUGGGUAGCGAACAGGAUUAGAUA
This 279-nucleotide ribosomal RNA is filed under the name uncultured bacterium. RNAcentral describes it as "partial 16S ribosomal RNA". It matches the Rfam family "Bacterial small subunit ribosomal RNA", at positions 506 to 784 of the family's 1533-position model. The record is from RNAcentral.